AACUUUGUUGGAAAUUGAAUGUACAUCUCUUUAUGUGCAGAAACUGGGAUCAGUGUCUUUUUAAGCAAGAUUGUCAAGUUGGGAGCAGUCAGAAUAAGUGGAAUGGUUGAAAGGCUACAAUUACCUCAGCAGCUAAGACAAAAUAUAUAAUGUCUUUUCCAGCGAAUCCUAAACCAAUGGACGUCGCUCUUCGCACAAUCGCCAUAUCGACCAAAUCAUUUUGUCUUACUUCUAUUGAGUUGCAAAGAUAUCACAACUGAACCUAACCUUUAGGAAGAUUAUAUACAACUACAGAAAGCAACCACAAUGCAAACCACAAGUUUUCCGUAGCGUAUUUGUUGACUGGUCAUCCGCACACCGUAAUGGACCAUGCAAAUAGAGAACUGGAUAGGAGCACAUUGAUAUCAUUUCAUUUUACAUUGAAGUUUUCAUCCUCUCUGUAUUAAUUGAUUAUGCAUGUGCGCAGAUGGAUGCUAUAAUUUCACAUAGCUCGAAAAGCUAUUAUGCGUGUGUCGGGGAUAGCACUCAUGCCGAGUAUCCAAUUUUUAGAAGGUAAUGUUUUGCUUGUUU
Molecule: long non-coding RNA, 570 nt
Organism: Vicia villosa (hairy vetch)
Lineage: Eukaryota; Viridiplantae; Streptophyta; Magnoliopsida; Fabales; Fabaceae
Exons: 3
Source: RefSeq, a predicted model, not a curated record